CCUACGGGGGGCUGCAGUGAGGAAUAUUGGUCAAUGGACGGAAGUCUGAACCAGCCACGCCGCGUGCAGGAAUACGGCUCUAUGAGUUGUAAACUGCUUUUGUACAAGGGUAAACCUGAAUACGUGUAUUCAGCUGAAAGUACUGUACGAAUAAGGAUCGGCUAACUCCGUGCCAGCAGCCGCGGUAAUACGGAGGAUCCAAGCGUUAUCCGGAUUUAUUGGGUUUAAGGGGUGCGUAGGCGGAUUGAUAAGUUAGAGGUGAAAUGUCCGAGCUUAACUCGGGAACUGCCUCUAAUACUGUUGGACUAGAGGGUAGAUGGGGUAGGCGGAAUGUAUGGUGUAGCGGUGAAAUGCUUAGAGAUCAUGCAGAACACCGAUGGCGAAGGCAGCUUACCAGACUAUAUCUGACGUUGAGGCACGAAAGCGUGGGGAGCGAACAGGAUUAGAUACCCUGGUAGUC
RNAcentral lists this ribosomal RNA (460 nucleotides) under uncultured bacterium. Its description in RNAcentral is "partial 16S ribosomal RNA". It matches the Rfam family "Bacterial small subunit ribosomal RNA", at positions 338 to 795 of the family's 1533-position model. The record is from RNAcentral.